GUACACUCCUGCGGGAGGCAGCAGUGGGGAAUUUUGGACAAUGGGCGAAAGCCUGAUCCAGCAAUGCCGCGUGAGUGAAGAAGGCCUUCGGGUUGUAAAGCUCUUUUGUCAGGGAAGAAACGGUGAAAGCUAAUAUCUUUUGCUAAUGACGGUACCUGAAGAAUAAGCACCGGCUAACUACGUGCCAGCAGCCGCGGUAAUACGUAGGGUGCAAGCGUUAAUCGGAAUUACUGGGCGUAAAGCGUGCGCAGGCGGUUUUGUAAGUCUGAUGUGAAAUCCCCGGGCUCAACCUGGGAAUUGCAUUGGAGACUGCAAGGCUAGAAUCUGGCAGAGGGGGGUAGAAUUCCACGUGUAGCAGUGAAAUGCGUAGAUAUGUGGAGGAACACCGAUGGCGAAGGCAGCCCCCUGGGUCAAGAUUGACGCUCAUGCACGAAAGCGUGGGGAGCAAACAGGAUUAGAUACCCGGGUAGUCCCAUGAU
RNAcentral lists this ribosomal RNA (479 nucleotides) under uncultured organism. Its description in RNAcentral is "partial 16S ribosomal RNA". It matches the Rfam family "Bacterial small subunit ribosomal RNA", at positions 331 to 801 of the family's 1533-position model. The record is from RNAcentral.